Molecule: long non-coding RNA, 421 nt
Filed under: Androctonus crassicauda
Lineage: Eukaryota; Metazoa; Arthropoda; Arachnida; Scorpiones; Buthidae
Source: RNAcentral
GUGGAAUGUGUAAUGUAGAAUAGUAUGAUCUUUAACCCUGUGUGGGUGGUGUAGGGCAGUAUUUGUUUAGAAUUGCCCGAGGGCUGGGUUUGUGUUGCAAGGAGGCUUUUUUUCUCUGGAUGCCAUUCUCCCAUUUUUCGGGCAUAUACAUGCGGGCUGGUGGCGGCUCAGUGGUGGGUCUGUCAUUUAGGCGUUCAUUGUGUUUUCUCUUCAAUGUCUCUGUGGAUUCUGUUGACUGGACUUGUGAUUCUUUGGCUAUGGGUUUUGUUGUCUUAGCAUCUUGUGAGGCUGUCUGGAGGUCAUUACUAUGUGUUUCUGUUGCCAGGGUGGUGAAUAGUUUUUCCUUGGAAUUACUUCCACUGUUUAUACUGCUUUCUCACUAAGAACUUUUGGAAUCAAGUACAUAUUAAAGCAGUUGUGC